This 93-nucleotide non-coding RNA is filed under the name marine eukaryotic metagenome. The record is from RNAcentral.
GGCUGAUUCGAAACUUCCGGAUCAACAAGCAGGACAUGAAAAGGGCACGACUGUCACUUUGGCUGCUCAAGCUGGCGCGAACGUGGUGUUCGA